This is a long non-coding RNA of Betta splendens (Siamese fighting fish), 1300 nucleotides long. RefSeq lists it as uncharacterized. NCBI's taxonomy places the organism in Eukaryota, Metazoa, Chordata, Actinopteri, Anabantiformes, Osphronemidae. The transcript is spliced from 3 exons. The record is from RefSeq and is a predicted model, not a curated record.
AUUUCCAGGCCUGCCCCUGAAUAUAGGAUGGAAAUCUGUGUGUGGCAGCCAAUCAAAAUCUGCCUCCUCGGAGCUGCUCAUGAAUUCAUCAGGGCCUGGUUACUCCACUGCCGCUGAGCCGUUCUCCUGAAUGUCUAAUGAGCAGCAAAUGUGAGGCUGAGGAUCAGGUGAAUGGCAUGUGUAAUCAACAGUCUUGUCAGGAGUUAGAAAAGAAGGAUUUACAUUGGCACAAUUGGCUCACCCCGACUCCUGAGAAAUGUGCUCUCACUGUCACAGCCCUGCUGAAUCCCACUCCUCACUGACACAAAUUGGACUUAAAAACCUUGAAAUAUGACUGAAACCCAAAGAUCAAAUAGUAAAGAAAAUCAUUUUGCUAUAGAGAGAUUAAAAUAAUUAGGUUUCCAACGGGUUUCUGUCUUUGUCCAGAGGUUCUGUUGGAUAAUCGCACAUCCCAUGAAUGGUAAUCUGCCUUUGAAAGGCUCAGAGCUCUUUGGCUGUGGCUUCUACUCAGCGCAGACAGAAUGUUUAAAACAUAGCGGGAGCCGUCCACGCUUUGAAACUCCAAUGCUACUGCUCCAGCCUGACGCAUUCUUCUUGUCAACUUCAAUUACGGGUCCUGACUAAACGACUGCGGGGAUGUGGAACUGGAAGAAAACCUAAUUAUUGAAAAAAAAAAACGUGUGCGAGUGAAAUGCACGUUUUUAACUGUGAAUCUAAACAAGUGAAUAUUCACACAGUAUCGUCAGUGAAACGAACACUGUCUGUCUCUGCAUCAUUCCUUACGUCAUCAUCUUCUCAUCCUUGAAUCAGUACAUAAUUAAAGGCACUCCCUGCUCAAAUCAAAUAUAUUCUACCAGCUAAACUCUGACGGAAACACGUGUUGAGAUUCAAUUGAUGACACACUUGAUUGGCUGCAAUGAGUAAAGAAGAUGACUUGUGAGAAGAGCCUUUACAGCAUCAGUAAUAUCUAAUUACUGACCCAAUCUCAGUUUUGGUAGAUUUUGGAUUUCCUCUAAUUGCUCUACACCCCCCUGCUUUAAGCGGUGUCUUUCUAAUUAGGUUACAUCACAUAGUGAAUGACUGGAGAAAAGUCUCCAGCAGGUAAAAUAUGUAAUUAUUCUCCACACAAGAUCUAUCCCUUUAAAAAAAUGUCUGACAAGUGACUCACUAAAAAGAGGUGAAGAGAUGUUAUUUGACAGGGGAGGACUUGAGAGUUUUACAUUUCCCAAGGAACAUGCUGUUAAAUUGUGCCUAACUACACAAUGUGCCGGUGUUAUUUCUGAUCCACUUAAAGGCAGCA